Molecule: unclassified non-coding RNA, 313 nt
Filed under: Serendipita sp.
Lineage: Eukaryota; Fungi; Basidiomycota; Agaricomycetes; Sebacinales; Serendipitaceae
Description: partial contains 5.8S ribosomal RNA, internal transcribed spacer 2, and large subunit ribosomal RNA
Rfam family: 5.8S ribosomal RNA (bases 1-71)
Source: RNAcentral
GUGAGUCAUCGAAUCUUUGAACGCACCUUGCACCCUUUGGUAUUCCGAAGGGUACACCCGUUUGAGUGUCAUUGUAAUCUCACCCCCGGAUGCUUUUGUUUCCGGGAGUGGACUUGGACGCUGCCGUGUCUCACGGCUCGUCUGGAAUGUCUCAGUGUUACCCCGCUCCUCGGCGUAGACAGUGUGAUAGGUAUCUUCACUGGUCGGCCUCGGGGCGGUCGCGCUGCCAACCGUCUUCGGACAAUCAAUGACGAUUUGACCUCAAAUCGGGUGGGAUUACCCGCUGAACUUAAGCAUAUCAAUAAGCGGAGGA